GUGUGCUUCUCACAGUCAGUCAAGAUUCCACGAGAGCCAAAACAGGGAGAGUUCGACAAGAUCAUCCGGAGACUGGGAGAAAAUCCAAACGCAAGAGUUGUCAUCCUUUUCGCAAAUGAAGAUGAUAUCAGGCGGUUACUCGAUGCAGCAAAAAAGGCCAACCAGACCGGUCAUUUCAUCUGGGUGGGAUCGGACAGCUGGGGCUCAAAGAUUGCUCCUGUUGUGCAGCAGGAGGAGGUGGCAGAGGGAGCAGUCACCAUCUUGCCCAAGCGGCAGACCAUUAAAGGGUUUGAUCGUUACUUCAUCAGUCGAACGCUGGAAAACAACAGAAGGAAUAUCUGGUUUGCGGAGUUCUGGGAGAACAACUUCAACUGCAAACUCAGCCGACAUGCUGUGAAGAAAGGCUCCGGGCUCAAAAAGU
Nematolebias whitei (Rio pearlfish) is the source of this 421-nucleotide long non-coding RNA. RefSeq lists it as uncharacterized. Lineage: Eukaryota; Metazoa; Chordata; Actinopteri; Cyprinodontiformes; Rivulidae. The record is from RefSeq and is a predicted model, not a curated record. The transcript has 3 exons.